CAGCCGCCACGGUAAUACAGAGGGUGCAAGCGUUAAUUGGAUUUACUGGGCGUAAAGCGUGCGUAGGUGGCUGUUUAAGUCGGAUGUGAAAGCCCUGGGCUUAACCUGGGAACUGCAUUCGAUACUGGAUAGCUAGAGAUCGGUAGAGGGCAGCGGAAUUCCGGGUGUAGCGGUGAAAUGCGUAGAUAUCCGGAGGAACACCGAUGGCGAAGGCAACUGCCUGGGCCUGAUCUGACACUGAGGCACGAAGGCGUGGGUAGCAAACAGGAUUAGAUACCCGCGUAGUCCCUGUCUCUUAUAC
This 301-nucleotide ribosomal RNA is filed under the name uncultured bacterium. Its description in RNAcentral is "partial 16S ribosomal RNA". It matches the Rfam family "Bacterial small subunit ribosomal RNA", at positions 509 to 807 of the family's 1533-position model. The record is from RNAcentral.